AUGCAAUAUACCCAUGUAACGAACAUGCAAUUGUACCCUCUGAGUCUAAAAUAAAAGUUGAAAUUUUUUAAUGUAUUAAUAUUUUUUGCUUUCAUGUUACUUAUUGUCUUGUGGCAAAAAAUAGUUUAGAACUAUAUUAAUAAAUAGAACUUGAGAUGAUUUGAUAGUCAUCACCAUACACAAUGCUAGCAAAACAGGAAGCACUGAAAAACAAAAAAAAAAAUUGGGAGUAAAAAGAAAUAAAAAAAAUAUGGUUUUGGCCAGGCA
RNAcentral lists this long non-coding RNA (267 nucleotides) under Homo sapiens (human). Its description in RNAcentral is "HSALNT0141977". Lineage: Eukaryota; Metazoa; Chordata; Mammalia; Primates; Hominidae. The record is from RNAcentral.